Molecule: ribosomal RNA, 253 nt
Filed under: uncultured bacterium
Lineage: Bacteria
Description: partial 16S ribosomal RNA
Rfam family: Bacterial small subunit ribosomal RNA
Source: RNAcentral
UACGUAGGAUGCAAGCGUUGUCCGGAAUUAUUGGGCGUAAAGAGCUCGUAGGCGGUUUGUUGCGUCGGCUGUGAAAUCCCGAGGCUCAACCUCGGGUCUGCAGUCGAUACGAGCAAACUAGAGUGUUGCAGGGGAGACUGGAAUUCCUGGUGUAGCGGUGAAAUGCGUAGAGACCCGGAGGAACACCAGUGGCGAAGGCGGCUUCCUGGUCUGCGACUGACGCUGUGGCGCGAAAGCUAGGGGAGCGAACAGG